GAUCGAACAUGCAAACCAAGGGCGACCCGGGGACGCAAAGCCACGGGACUCCCGCGAAGGAGUUCGCCGGGUUGCCGAG
RNAcentral lists this non-coding RNA (79 nucleotides) under unclassified sequences. RNAcentral's name for it is "c-di-GMP sequence". It matches the Rfam family "c-di-GMP-I riboswitch aptamer". Rfam says of the family: GEMM was predicted in a large-scale screen for bacterial structured RNA regulatory elements. The record is from RNAcentral.